This 996-nucleotide ribosomal RNA is filed under the name Salmonella enterica subsp. enterica. Its description in RNAcentral is "partial 23S ribosomal RNA". It matches the Rfam family "Bacterial large subunit ribosomal RNA", at positions 911 to 1803 of the family's 2925-position model. The record is from RNAcentral. Lineage: Bacteria; Pseudomonadati; Pseudomonadota; Gammaproteobacteria; Enterobacterales; Enterobacteriaceae.
UGUUUCGGCUAGGGGGCCAUCCCGGCUUACCAACCCGAUGCAAACUGCGAAUACCGGAGAAUGUUAUCACGGGAGACACACGGCGGGUGCUAACGUCCGUCGUGAAGAGGGAAACAACCCAGACCGCCAGCUAAGGUCCCAAAGUCAUGGUUAAGUGGGAAACGAUGUGGGAAGGCCCAGACAGCCAGGAUGUUGGCUUAGAAGCAGCCAUCAUUUAAAGAAAGCGUAAUAGCUCACUGGUCGAGUCGGCCUGCGCGGAAGAUGUAACGGGGCUAAACCAUGCACCGAAGCUGCGGCAGCGAACGUAUCACCCAAGACAACUUUGCGGAGUUGACGAUUGACGGAGCGAAGCGACGUCAAAGCGUUCAUUAAAGUCGAGUUGGCUUAGGGAUACGUUCGUUGGGUAGGGGAGCGUUCUGUAAGCCAGUGAAGGUGUGUCGUGAGGCAUGCUGGAGGUAUCAGAAGUGCGAAUGCUGACAUAAGUAACGAUAAAGCGGGUGAAAAGCCCGCUCGCCGGAAGACCAAGGGUUCCUGUCCAACGUUAAUCGGGGCAGGGUGAGUCGACCCCUAAGGCGAGGCCGAAAGGCGUAGUCGAUGGGAAACGGGUUAAUAUUCCCGUACUUGGUGUUACUGCGAAGGGGGGACGGAGAAGGCUAUGUUGGCCGGGCGACGGUUGUCCCGGUUUAAGCGUGUAGGUGUGUGUUCCAGGUAAAUCCGGUUCACUUUAACACUGAGGCGUGAUGACGAGGCACUACGGUGCUGAAGCAACAAAUGCCCUGCUUCCAGGAAAAGCCUCUAAGCAUCAGGUAACAUCAAAUCGUACCCCAAACCGACACAGGUGGUCAGGUAGAGAAUACCAAGGCGCUUGAGAGAACUCGGGUGAAGGAACUAGGCAAAAUGGUGCCGUAACUUCGGGAGAAGGCACGCUGACACGUAGGUGAAGUGAUUUACUCAUGGAGCUGAAGUCAGUCGAAGAUACCAGCUGGCUGCAACUGU